AUUUUACUUUUUUUAAGUUUUAUUGAAAUAUAGUUGAUUUACAACGUUCUGAUAAUUUCUGCUAUACAACAAAGUGAUUCAGUUAUACACACAUCCAUUCUUUUUCAGAUUCUUUUCCCAUAUAGAUUAUCACAGAAUAUUGGUUGGAAUUCCCUGUGCUAUACAGCUAUACAGUAGUUCCCCAUUUUUCUAGUUUAUUUUUAUCACCAAUAAUUCAAUGAACAACACAUACUGAUAUAGUUAUCCUCUCAAAAUUAUUCUUAGGAGUUCUCAUCGUGGCUCAGUGGAAAUGAAUCUGACUAGUAUCCAUGAGGACACAGGUUUGAUCCCUGGCCUAGUUCAGUGGGUUAAGGAUCCAGUGUUGCCAUGAACUAUGGUGUAGUUCUCAGAUACAGCUUGGAUCCAGCGUUGCUGUGUCUGUGGUGUAGGAGGGCAACUGUAACUCCCAUUCAACCCCUAGGCUGGGAAUCUCCAUAUGCCAUGGGUGUGGCCCUAAAAGACAAGAGAAAAAAAAAAAAAGAUUAUGCUAACUUUUACCCUCACCAGCAGUAUAUGAGUGCCAGUUUCCGACAUGUUCCGCUUUGAAAAAAAAAAAUUUCUAAUAUAUCAGAAGUAUGUCAAAAUCAUAUUUCGUUGUCGUUUUCAUUUGCAUGUGUUUGAUUAUUAGUGAAACUGACCAUCUUUUCAUGGGUAGCAGACAUUGUCAGGCCUUCCAGUGUUUGUCUGUGUCUACCUCUACAGCCUCUGGCUACUUACUCCACAGCUGAGAGCAAGUCUUUGAUUGCAUAGCAGUGUGGGGCAGUUGGGAAAGGCCAGGGAAUUAAUAUCCCCAGGAGCAGCCUCAACUAAGUUGAGGGAUAGAUACCUCAAUGCACCCCUUAGGUGGUGUUCCACACUAUCUCCCAGAGUUCCAGUAGGACUGAGCCCCAGCUGCCCACAGAGGAAAUGACUUGAUGACUCAUCCUUUCCCUGCCUCACUCCUCUUCCUAUCCAUGGUAUCAGCUCCCAAAUUAACUACUUGAACUUGCAUCCUUACCUCAGGUCUUAUGGACUGGGGAACCCAACCUAGACAAUAUGAGCUUUUUCGCCUCUUACUUAGUCAAUUAUCUGAUCAUCCAUACUUUUUCCCCAUUUUAAUAUUGGAGUUUGAAUUAUCUAUUUUAAAUAUUAAGAAGAAAGAGAUAUUUACAGAAGGCAAUCAUGAUGGAUCACAAACCAGGCCAUUAAUAAAUUUAAAUUAACACCAAUUGUCUUAAUAACCACAUUAAGAUUUUGGAGUUUUCUUGUGGCUCAGCAGGUUAAGGAUCCAGCGUUGUUACUGCAGCUCCAGUCACUGCUGUGCUGUAGGUUUGAUCCCUGGCCAUGACCGUGUGUGGCCAAAAAAAGAUUUAAAGUAUUACAAGUUACUAAUAAUAACUACUACAUUCAAAGUAAUUACCCUCUCUUUAUAUGGAGUUCAAGAUUUUCUUUAUAAAUGAACUAAAAUGUAGAAAAAUGGAAAAAACUAGCAAGCUAUGGAGAGGAGAAUACUUUAGCCAACAUGUACUAAAUGUGUUGAUUGAGUGCUAUGAGAAAAACUAAAUUCAACAAUGUAAAUACACUCAAAAUAGAUUGGCAUCAUUUUUAGGGAGAAACUAGGGUUCAGUGGGAUGUCUGUUGAGAAGAUUUAGAAUGGAGAAACGUUUUGGGUCAAAUGACAUUUUCUAGUAUCUAAAAUCAAUAUGUUGUUAAUUAAAAUACCAAUCACCCAAGAAACAGUAAACAAUGUUAAACUAAACUGGAUCAGAGCCCAGAAAGUCAGCCUGACUAGGGGUGCACAAAACUAGGAAGAAAAAAAAAAAAAAAAAAACCCAAACCAAACAAAAAGCUUUCAAAAGCAACUAACCAUUUGAAAUGGGAGGAAAGGGCAGGGAGGGGAUACAGAAAACAAAAGAAAAUGGCCAGUUUGCAUCUUGCUCUGGGCCAGGAAUCAGACAGAAUUGCUCCAACAGAAUCUUUGUAGAGGCCUUUCUUCCAGCUACACAAUUUAAACAUUUGCAAAGGUAAAAUGAAGACAGUCUAGACAACCUAACUUGCCUUGUACAGACAGUGAAAGUUUUUAAAUAGGAUAUACAAUACAAAUCCACAAGAGUCAAAUUUAAACACCUCUUCAGAAUUGUGACUACCCUCACAUUUCAUGCUACCUCCAGAAGAGUUAACUUCUUUUUCUUUUUUUCUUUUGGCUGCAACAUGCAGCACCUUGAUGUAGGAUCUCUGUUCCCAAACAAGGGAUUGAACCAAGGCCACAGUGGUGAAUGUGCAGAGUCCUAAUCACUAGGUCACCAGGGAACUCCCUAGAGGAGUUAAAUUCUUUAGAUGUGUGACUCAGUCUUUUUUUUUUUUUUUUUUUUUGUCUUUUUUUGCUAUUUCUUGGGCCGCUCCCACGGCAUAUGGAGGUUCCCAGGCUAGGGGUCGAAUUGGAGCUGUAGCCACCGGCCUACGCCAGAGCCAUAGCAACGCCGGAUCCGAGCCGCGUCUGUGACCUACACCACAGCUCACGGCAACGCCGGAUCGUUAACCCACUGAGCAAGGGCGGGGACCGAACCCGCAACCUCAAGGUUCCUAGUCGGAUUCGUUAACCACUGCGCCACAACGGGAACUCCCUGACUCAGUCAUUUUAAUGUAUUUUAUCAAGACAGACUGUAAUGUUUUUCUGAACUUACAAGAUAACAUGAAGGUUAAGUGUCUACACAAUAGCAAACAGCCAGAAGAAAUGUAGAAAUCUGUCCAGAUUAAAGUCAGUGAAAAUAAUGGCAAUGCAAACAAGCUCAGGUCUGGAUGCUUCAAAAUACAUUAAAAGAUAAUUACUCAAUAAUCCAUCAGUUCUAUACCAGUCAUAUUGUUACCAAAACUAGACCUCUUUCCACUGGUGCCAGAU
Molecule: long non-coding RNA, 2917 nt
Filed under: Sus scrofa (pig)
Lineage: Eukaryota; Metazoa; Chordata; Mammalia; Artiodactyla; Suidae
Description: lncRNA (ENSSSCG00000059919.1)
Source: RNAcentral